This 468-nucleotide ribosomal RNA is filed under the name uncultured bacterium. RNAcentral's name for it is "partial 16S ribosomal RNA". It matches the Rfam family "Bacterial small subunit ribosomal RNA", at positions 28 to 507 of the family's 1533-position model. The record is from RNAcentral.
GACGAACGCUGGCGGCGUGCUUAACACAUGCAAGUCGAACGGAAAGGCCCUGCUUUUGUGGGGUGCUCGAGUGGCGAACGGGUGAGUAACACGUGAGUAACCUGCCCUUGACUUUGGGAUAACUUCAGGAAACUGGGGCUAAUACCGGAUAGGAGCUCCUGCUGCAGGGUGGGGGUUGGAAAGUUUCGGCGGUUGGGGAUGGACUGGGGGCUUAUCAGCUUGUUGGUGGGGUAGUGGCUUACCAAGGCUUUGACGGGUAGCCGGCCUGAGAGGGUGACCGGCCACUUUGGGACGGAGAGACGGCCCAGACCCCUACGGGAGGCAGCAGGGGGGAAUAUGGCACAGGGGGGGGAAGCCUGAUGCAGCAACCCCGGGUGCGGGAUGACGGCCUUCGGUUUGUACACCGCUUCCGCCUGUGACGAAGCGUGAGUGACGGUAAUGGGUAAAGAAGCACCGCCUAACUACGUC